UGGGGAAUAUUGGACAAUGGGCGAAAGCCUGAUCCAGCCAUGCCGCGUGUGUGAAGAAGGUCUUCGGAUUGUAAAGCACUUUAAGUUGGGAGGAAGGGCAUUAACCUAAUACGUUAGUGUUUUGACGUUACCGACAGAAUAAGCACCGGCUAACUCUGUGCCAGCAGCCGCGGUAAUACAGAGGGUGCAAGCGUUAAUCGGAAUUACUGGGCGUAAAGCGCGCGUAGGGGGUAUGUUAAGUUGGAUGUGAAAUCCCCGGGCUCAACCUGGGAACUGCAUUCAAAACUGACUGACUAGAGUAUGGUAGAGGGUGGUGGAAUUUCCUGUGUAGCGGUGAAAUGCGUAGAUAUAGGAAGGAACACCAGUGGCGAAGGCGACCACCUGGACUAAUACUGACACUGAGGUGCGAAAGCGUGGGGAGCAAACA
This 427-nucleotide ribosomal RNA is filed under the name uncultured bacterium. Its description in RNAcentral is "partial 16S ribosomal RNA". It matches the Rfam family "Bacterial small subunit ribosomal RNA", at positions 355 to 774 of the family's 1533-position model. The record is from RNAcentral.